This 450-nucleotide ribosomal RNA is filed under the name uncultured bacterium. RNAcentral describes it as "bacterial SSU rRNA". It matches the Rfam family "Bacterial small subunit ribosomal RNA", at positions 28 to 458 of the family's 1533-position model. The record is from RNAcentral.
GAUGAACGCUGGCGGCGUGCUUAACACAUGCAAGUCGAACGAAGCACUUUAUUUGAUUUCCUUCGGGACUGAUUAUUUUGUGACUGAGUGGCGGACGGGUGAGUAACGCGUGGGUAACCUGCCUUGUACAGGGGGAUAACAGUUGGAAACGGCUGCUAAUACCGCAUAAGCGCACAGCAUCGCAUGAUGCAGUGUGAAAAACUCCGGUGGUAUAAGAUGGACCCGCGUUGGAUUAGCUAGUUGGUGAGGUAACGGCCCACCAAGGCAACGAUCCAUAGCCGACCUGAGAGGGUGACCGGCCACAUUGGGACUGAGACACGGCCCAAACUCCUACGGGAGGCAGCAGUGGGGAAUAUUGCACAAUGGGCGAAAGCCUGAUGCAGCGACGCCGCGUGAGCGAAGAAGUAUUUCGGUAUGUAAAGCUCUAUCAGCAGGGAAGAUAAUGACGGU